Molecule: ribosomal RNA, 468 nt
Filed under: uncultured bacterium
Lineage: Bacteria
Description: partial 16S ribosomal RNA
Rfam family: Bacterial small subunit ribosomal RNA
Source: RNAcentral
GACGAACGCUGGCGGCGUGCUUAACACAUGCAAGUCGAACGGAAAGGCCCUGCUUUUGUGGGGUGCUCGAGUGGCGCACGGGUGAGUAACACGUGAGUAACCUGCCCUUGACUUUGGGAUAACUUCAGGAAACAGGGGCUAAUACCGGAUAGGAGCUCCUGCUGCAUGGUGGGGGUUGGAAAGUUUCGGCGGUUGGGGAUGGACUCGCGGCUUAUCAGCUUGUUGGUGGGGUAGUGGAUUACCAAGGCUUUGACGGGUAGCCGGCCUGAGAGGGUGACCGGCGACAAUGGGACUGAGAGAGGGCGCAGACGCCUACGGGAGGCAGCAGUGGAGAGUAUUGCACAGCGGCCGGAAGCCUGAGGCGGCGACGCCGGGUGCGGGAUGCCGGCCUUCGGGUGGUAAACCGCUUUCGACUGUGACGAAGCGGUAGUGACGGUAAUGGGUAAAGAAGCACCGGCUAACUACGUG